Molecule: transfer RNA, 72 nt
Filed under: Camelus bactrianus (Bactrian camel)
Lineage: Eukaryota; Metazoa; Chordata; Mammalia; Artiodactyla; Camelidae
Also listed under: 3 other names
Rfam family: tRNA
About the family: Transfer RNA (tRNA) molecules are approximately 80 nucleotides in length. Their secondary structure includes four short double-helical elements and three loops (D, anti-codon, and T loops).
Source: Rfam by way of RNAcentral
GAGGGUAUAGCUCAGUGGUAGAGUGCAUGCUUAGCAUGCACAAGGUCCUGAGUCGGAGCCCCAGUACCUUCA